UUCCCUCCCCCCACGCCGUGGGAGCAGUGGCGCAAACUGUUCCGAUUCCCGGGUCAGGUUCUGCAUCCAUGGAGCGAGCCGACGGGCCGAGUUCAGAACUUGCUAAGGCCAUCAAACCUAUCGAUCGGAAGUCAGUCCAUCAGAUUUGUUCUGGGCAAGUGGUUCUUAGUCUAAGCACUGCUGUGAAGGAGUUGGUAGAAAAUAGUGUGGAUGCCAGUGCCACUAACAUUGAGCUCAGGCUUAAAGACUACGGGGUGGAGCUCAUUGAAGUUUCAGACAACGGAUGCGGGGUAGAAGAAGAAAACUUUGAAGGCUUAACUCUGAAGCAUCACACUUCUAAGAUUCAGGAGUUUGCUGACCUCACUCAGGUUGAAACAUUUGGCUUUCGGGGGGAAGCUCUGAGCUCACUCUGUGCACUGAGUGAUGUAACUAUUUCCACCUGCCACACAUCUGCGAAGGUUGGGACUCGACUGGUGUUUGAUCACAAUGGAAAAAUCCUCCAGAAAACCCCCUACCCACGACCCAGAGGGACGACAGUCAGCGUGCAGCAGUUAUUUUAUACGCUACCUGUGCGCCAUAAGGAGUUUCAAAGGAAUAUUAAAAAGGAGUUCUCCAAAAUGGUCCAGGUCUUACACGCCUACUGUAUCAUUUCAGCGGGCGUCCGUGUAAGUUGCACCAAUCAGGUUGGACAGGGUAAGAGGCAGCCUGUGGUGUGCACCAGUGGAGGCUCCAGCAUGAAGGAAAAUAUCGGAUCUGUAUUUGGGCAGAAACAGUUGCAAAGCCUCAUCCCUUUUGUGCAGCUGCCCCCUAGUGACACUGUCCGUGAAGAAUACGGGCUGAGCCCUUCCCAGGCUCUGCGUAACCUGUUUUGUAUCUCAGGUUUUAUUUCUCACUGUGCUCACGGCGUGGGAAGAAGUUCAACGGACAGACAGUUUUUCUUUAUCAAUCGGCGGCCUUGUGACCCAGCAAAGGUUUCCAGACUUGUGAAUGAGGUCUAUCACAUGUAUAACCGGCAUCAGUAUCCAUUUGUUGUUCUUAACAUUUCUGUUGAUUUGGAAUGUGUCGACAUCAACGUUACUCCAGAUAAAAGGCAAAUUUUACUACAGGAGGAGAAGCUUUUGUUGGCAGUUUUAAAGACGUCUUUGAUAGGAAUGUUCGAUAGUGAUGUUAACAAACUGAACGUCAGUCAGCACCCGCUGUUUGAUGUCGAAGGUCACUUAAUAAAAAGGCAUUCGGCAGAGCUGGAGAAGCCCAUGCCAGGAAAGCAGGAUGAUCCCGCCCCGUUAAGGACUCGCGGGGAAGAGAAAAGGGCAGCGACCAUUUCCAGACUGAGAGAGGCCUUUUCCCUUCGUCACACAGUGGAGAACAAGUCACGGGGCCCGAAGGCCACCGACCCAAGACGGAUUUCUCCACGACAGAAAAGCAGCACCCCAUUUCCUAGCGCUUCAGGGCCCCUCUGCUCCUGGAAGCACAUCUCUGAACCUCAGGAGGAAGGGAUGACUUCCACUCAGGGGCCCUGUGACCCGAUGGUUAGAGUGGACACGGAAGAGGGCUGGGGGCACAGCAGCGCAUCUGCCGGCUCUGAGGAGGGGUCCAGCACCCCAAAAACGGGCAGCCACCCCAGCAGUGACCACGUGGCAAGCUCCCCCAAAGAUGGGUUUUCGCAAGAAAAUGUGGAGUCUUUGGAGAAGUUACCUGAAACUGACCAUCGUCUUUGGCGCACGAGUUGCCACUUGGACCACGAAGAAAGCGACUCCCGACCUAGAGUUUUGCUGCAACCUACGCCUCUCUCAUCCCCAAACGCAAAGCGUUUUAAGAAAGAAGGGGUUCCUUUAAAUCCCGAUGUCCCUCCAGAGUCCGUGAAAACUCAGAACGCUUUAGCAUCCGAGCUGGAUGUAGCUGUUGAAAUUAACAAGAAAAUAGUGCCCCUUGACUUUUCUAUGAGUUAUUUAGCCAAACGAAUAAAGCAGUUAUGUCAGCAAGAACAACAACGAGAAGGUGGACAAAAUUAUAGGAAGUUUCGGGCAAAGAUUUGCCCUGGAGAAAAUCAAGCAGCAGAAGAUGAACUGAGAAAAGAGAUAAGCAAAACGAUGUUUGCAGAAAUGGAAAUCAUUGGUCAGUUUAACUUGGGAUUUAUCAUCACCAAACUGAAUGCAGAUAUCUUCAUAGUGGACCAGCACGCCACGGAUGAGAAAUACAACUUCGAGAUGCUUCAACGGCACACUGCUCUCCAGGGGCAAAGGCUUAUAGCACCUCAGACUCUCAACUUAACGGCUGUCAAUGAAGCAGUUCUAAUAGAAAAUCUGGAAAUAUUCAGAAAGAAUGGCUUUGACUUUGUUAUCGAUGAAGAUGCCCCGGUCACUGAAAGAGCUAAAUUGAUUUCCUUGCCGACUAGUAAAAGCUGGACCUUUGGACCCCAGGACAUAGAUGAACUGAUCUUCAUGCUGAGUGACAGCCCCGGUGUCAUGUGCCGGCCUUCCCGGGUCAGGCAGAUGUUUGCCUCCAGGGCCUGUCGGAAGUCUGUAAGUAAAGAAGGCUUAUCUGCAGGAGCCUGAGGGGUCUGCUCUUGGGCCUUGGAAGUUCUCAGUUCAGCCCCUGACUUGUCAGCCUUAUUAAAUGUGGGUGAUGCUCGCUCUGGGCUGUGUGCGUGGAGCCCCACUGUCCUCAGCCAUUGUAACGCAUGAGCGCUGCACGUCUGCCUUAGGCCAGACCUCUGACCCAUAGUUACGGCUCUUUCUCAGCGCCCCUGAAGCAGCGUCCUCAGGGCUUUCGUCACUCCCACGCAGUUAGCUGGGUAUCCACGUUGUUCGUCUAUGGACCUCAUGGGUAUUAAUGACACUGGUGGGUAAAGAUUAGGUGCUGCCAAGCCCUCAAGGGCCCUGCACGAGAUUAUCCAGAACCCUGCAGUCAGCUCGCCUUUCACAGGAGCCCCAAGGGCGGGCACUGCGUAUUGUCUGGCUGCCGCGGCUCAGCCUGGUUCUAGAAGACGAUAGCAGUGGUUGGUGAUGAGCCUGAUGUCAAAGCAGAGCACGUGUGUUUGCGUCACCUGGCCCACCCCUUCAUUCACUCAGCAGAGACCCCUUCGGCCCCCGCUGGGUGGCCGGCCCUGGUCCGGGUGCUGGGGGCGCAGGUAACCCGGCAGAUGAGGUCCUUGCCCUCGUGGAGCUUAUAGUUUAGUGGGGGUAAUGGAUAUGACAUUAAUAACGGCAGCCUCAGAUACAGGUUCGGUCGGGGUGAGGCUGUCUGAGGAGGUGACCUCCCAGCUGACGCUUGGAAGGUGAGCUGGAGCCCCUUGGGAAAGAACUUUCCAGAUAGAAGAAAUAGCAAGUGCAAAGGUUCGGGGUGUUUGGCGAAGCCAGAGGCUGACCCCGUGUGACGGGUGGGGGACCAGGAUGGGAGUGGGGCCCCGUCUGGGGACCCACUUAAGGUCCUUGGGAUCCUGGUCCGAACCUGGGCGUCUGCGCUGCGCGUGUCAGGAGGUGCUGGAGGGUGACCAUGGGGAAGAGACCGCGGAGAGGGUGUCAUAACGGAAAUGAGGGGGUGGGGCAAGGGCUGCGGCAUUUUCAGCUUUGGGGGCAGUGGGGUUCAGCAUUCUCUGUUAGACACGCUGUAUCUGAGAUCCUAUUAGACGUGAGAGGAGGUGUCUGAGAACAGCCACGUCAGUGAAUCCAGAGCCAGGGGAAGUGUCGGUGCUGGAGAGAAAGGUUUAGGUUUUCUAAGUUACGGCCAUGGCGUUGGAUGAAAUUCCUCCAGGCAAGAGUUUGAUGAGAGAAUAGGGCCCAGGACCUGACUUCAGCCACAGAUGGUUCUUUGAUAAAGGCCUGACCUUGAUCUUCCCACCCUGGAGUCGGGGGUAGGAGUCAGAGCUGGGCCUGGCCUGUGCUGAUGGCCAGGUGUUCACAGUGCCGUGUCCUCGCGUGACGCAGAGAUCUUUGGGGCCACGGGCCGCUCCUCAGUCCCCAGGCUGGCGGGUCCCUGGCGCUGCAGCGCUGUCUCCGCGCAGCACACGGGCUGACGGGGGCGGGCUGUCCCCUGCUGCACCCGUGGGCCCCGUGUCCUACGCUCGGCUCUAGCCACGCCUGCCACACCAUCUCCUUCCCGCCCCAAGUCCUCGCCCGCCGUCCCUCUGCCUGGAUGCCCCGCUCCGCACGCCUUCUUCGCCCACCUGGCCCCCUCCCACCCUCGGGCCUCCCUGAGCACCCAACUGAAGUAGCCUCUCCUGGGUGCUCAGGCAGGCCCGAGGGCUACAGAGGACAGACACGCGAGCUCCUGCAUUGCGGGGAGGCAGGGACAUUGGAGCAGCAGCCUGCGGGAGAGGGAACAUGAGAGACGCAGAUAUCUGAGGGAAGCGUAUCCCGGGUAGAGGGCACAGCCAGUGACAAGGUCCUGAGGCAGGUACUCGCUCUAUGGGCUUGUACUAGAGGCGAGGGGGUGCCGGUGUGGCUGCAGUGGGGGCGGAAGGACUGCUUGCUUGCAGGUGUGGACACUAAGGCCGGUGAGGGCCAAGUCAGGUGAUGCACUUGGGCUUUUAUCCGGGUGGGGGUGGGGCUUCGAAGAGGAGCCACGUGAUCUGACACGCCUUUAAAAGGAAUCACUGGCCGCUCCUGGAGGACGAGUUGAAGGGAGAAGGAGGAAAGCGGGGAGGCUCGCCAGGAGGCCGCUGCAGUCGCCAUGGUGGGAGGUCGGGGUGGCUGGGAUGUGGAUGCUGGCGGAGCUGGUGAGACUGGUUGGUCCUGGACGGGAGUGGUCGGCGUCUCUCCUGAGGAUGUGCUGCCACGACAGAGCCACGGAGGGGCUGGAUUUCACAAAGAGGCCGAGGGCUGAGAUACUAGAAGGUGAUGAUUGGAACCGCUCUUAACACAAGUGAGAUGAAGAAACUUGUCACCCACAUGGGGGAGAUGGACCAGCCCUGGAGCUGUCCCCACGGAAGGCCCACCGUGAGGCACCUUGCCAAUCUGGACAUCAUUUCGCAG
RNA transcript from Physeter macrocephalus (sperm whale), 4973 nucleotides. It is a transcript of the gene named PMS1 homolog 2, mismatch repair system component, with no coding region annotated. The transcript has 15 exons. Lineage: Eukaryota; Metazoa; Chordata; Mammalia; Artiodactyla; Physeteridae. The record is from RefSeq and is a predicted model, not a curated record.